AUGCCAUGUGGGUCGCUGGUGGUGUCCUGCCACAGAGGGCAGGUUCGUGCCCCUGCUGAGGCCCAUGCCAGAAGGCAGGCUGGGGGUGGGGCUUGUGCCAACAGCGAGGAAGGCCCCUCGGGCCGGCCCACCCCCUGCCCCAUGCUCAGGUGGGCGUGGGCUGACCUGGGGUGCGGGACAGAAGGGCCCUGGGCCCCCGUCCGGAGGCUCUGCUUGGCCUUCACCCUGUCCCCUUCCCUCACGUGUCCUCCUAACCUGUUGCACUUGCCGUUGACUCGCUCCUGUCCCUGCCUGCUGCCUUCCAAGCCCCGGGAAGGCCGGGCAUACAGUAGGUGCUCAGUCACUGCAGGGCCGCUGACCUGCCCGCGUCAGAGGUCUCGCGCUGCGGAAGCCCUGGGUGUGUCACACUCCCGCAGUCGGUGGCUCCGAUGCCCCAAUUCCUCCCGUCGUGGAGAACGGAGCCCUGCAGGGAGGGCCCACGGGGAGCGGUGUGGGGGUCCCGGGGCAUCGACUGUUCUGCUCCCAGAACUUGGUGAUCACUGGCCGCACUGUUUGUUUGGGGAACUGCCGAGGCCCUUGUCCUUUGUCGAGACUCUGGGCUGGUCUCCCGCUGACCCUGACCCUGACCCUUCUGUCGCUGAUCCCCGCCCCGCCCCCCUCCGGCAGACAGUCACGGACGCAAGGCGCCGGCGGGAUGCACCCCUGGGCCGCCGACACUCGGGCCCCGGCGCCGGCAAACUGCGGCAAACGGCCACACGGCCUCGGUCUCGGGGCUUCUGCCCGGCGGGACAGAGCGGUGCAGGCGGUGCCGUUCCGAGAAAACUUCACUUGCAGAAACGAGCGGUGGGCCAGUCUGCCGGCCCCGGGCGGACUCCUGGUCCCUUGGGGUCUCAGCCGCCGAAGGAGUUGGCGGGGAGGACGGGUCCCCCGGCCGCAGCAGGCUGGGGAGCGUCGGCACGGGAGUCCUCUCCGCUGGCUCAGGCCGUGGUCCGGGUUCGCGGGACGGGUGCGUGGUUUUGUACAACGGCUUUUGCACAUUUAUUGCCGAUUUCUGCUGACUUUUUUUUUUCCCUCUGUCGUGAAUAA
RNAcentral lists this long non-coding RNA (1086 nucleotides) under Neogale vison (American mink). RNAcentral describes it as "Neovison vison (American mink) lncRNA (ENSNVIG00000004966.1)". Lineage: Eukaryota; Metazoa; Chordata; Mammalia; Carnivora; Mustelidae. The record is from RNAcentral.